This 305-nucleotide ribosomal RNA is filed under the name uncultured bacterium. RNAcentral describes it as "bacterial SSU rRNA". It matches the Rfam family "Bacterial small subunit ribosomal RNA", at positions 335 to 637 of the family's 1533-position model. The record is from RNAcentral.
ACUCCUACGGGGGGCAGCAGUGAGGAAUAUUGGUCAAUGGGAGAGAUCCUGAACCAGCCAAGUAGCGUGAGGGAAGACUGCCCUAUGGGUUGUAAACCUCUUUUAUGCGGGGAUAAAGGUGUCCACGUGUGGAUGUUUGCAGGUACCGCACGAAUAAGGACCGGCUAAUUCCGUGCCAGCAGCCGCGGUAAUACGGAAGGUCCGGGCGUUAUCCGGAUUUAUUGGGUUUAAAGGGAGCGUAGGCCGGUCUUUAAGCGUGCCGUGAAAUUUUGUGGCUCAACCAUGAGAGUGCGGCGCGAACUGGG